Molecule: ribosomal RNA, 450 nt
Filed under: uncultured bacterium
Lineage: Bacteria
Description: partial 16S ribosomal RNA
Rfam family: Bacterial small subunit ribosomal RNA
Source: RNAcentral
AUGAACGCUGGCGGCGUGCCUAACCCAUGCAAGUCGAGCGGCAGCGAGGGGUGCUUGCACCCUGUCGGCGAGCGGCGGACGGCUGAGUAACGCGUGGGAACGUGCCCCAAAGUGAGGAAUAACUGCCCGAAAGGGUAGCUAAUACCGCAUAUUAUCUUCGGAUCAAAGGAUUUAUCCGCUUUGGGAGCGGCUCGCGUCGGAUUAGGUAGUUGGUGAGGUAAUGGCUCACCAAGCCGACGAUCCGUAGCUGGUCUGAGAGGAUGACCAGCCAGACUGGAACUGAGACACGGUCCAGACUCCUACGGGAGGCAGCAGUGAGGAAUCUUCCACAAUGGGCGAAAGCCUGAUGGAGCAACGCCGCGUGCAGGACGAAGGCCUUCGGGUUGUAAACUGCUUUUAUAAGUGAGGAAUAUGACGGUAACUUAUGAAUAAGGAUCGGCUAACUGCGUG